GAAGUAUGGCCAAGUAAAAGCUGCUAACUUAUUACUUUAACGGCUAAAUCCCGUUUAUACUUCU
Molecule: transfer RNA, 64 nt
Filed under: Margattea speciosa
Lineage: Eukaryota; Metazoa; Arthropoda; Insecta; Blattodea; Pseudophyllodromiidae
Description: tRNA-Ser
Source: RNAcentral